This is a non-coding RNA of Acanthosepion pharaonis, 104 nucleotides long. Lineage: Eukaryota; Metazoa; Mollusca; Cephalopoda; Sepiida; Sepiidae. The record is from the annotation of a GenBank genome assembly.
GCCAGAUCAUGUUAAAACACCAGUUCCCAUAUGAUCACCAAAGUUAAUUAAUGUCGAGCCUAGUCAGUACCUAGAUGGGUGACUGCUAGGAAAUACUAAGUGCU